UACGGAGGGUGCAAGCGUUAAUCGGAAUUACUGGGCGUAAAGCGCGCGUAGGUGGCUUGUUAAGUCGGAUGUGAAAGCCCCGGGCUCAACCUGGGAAUUGCAUCCGAUACUGGCAGGCUAGAGUGCGGGAGAGGGAGGUAGAAUUCCACGUGUAGCGGUGAAAUGCGUAGAUAUGUGGAGGAAUACCAGUGGCGAAGGCGGCCUCCUGGCUCGACACUGACACUGAGGUGCGAAAGCGUGGGUAGCAAACAGG
This 253-nucleotide ribosomal RNA is filed under the name uncultured bacterium. RNAcentral's name for it is "partial 16S ribosomal RNA". It matches the Rfam family "Bacterial small subunit ribosomal RNA", at positions 524 to 776 of the family's 1533-position model. The record is from RNAcentral.